This 468-nucleotide ribosomal RNA is filed under the name uncultured bacterium. RNAcentral describes it as "partial 16S ribosomal RNA". It matches the Rfam family "Bacterial small subunit ribosomal RNA", at positions 28 to 507 of the family's 1533-position model. The record is from RNAcentral.
GACGAACGCUGGCGGCGUGCUUAACACAUGCAAGUCGAACGGAAAGGCCCUGCUUUUGGGGGGUGCUCGAGUGGCGAACGGGUGAGUAACACGUGAGUAACCUGCCCUUGACUUUGGGAUAACUUCAGGAAACUGGGGCUAAUACCGGAUAGGAGCUCCUGCUGCAUGGUGGGGGUUGGAAAGUUUCGGCGGUUGGGGAUGGACUCGCGGCUUAUCAGCGUGUUGGUGGGGUAGUGGCUUACCAAGGCUUUGACGGGUAGCCGGCCUGAGAGGGUGACCGGCCACCUUGGGCCUGAGAUACGGCCCAGACUCCUACGGGAGGCAGCAGUGGGGAAUAUUGCACAAUGGGCGGAAGCCUGAUGCAGCAACGCCGCGUGCGGGAUGACGGCCUUCGGGUUGUAAACCGCUUUCGCCUGUGACGAAGCGUGAGUGACGGUAAUGGGUAAAGAAGCACCGGCUAACUACGUG